ACGGAGGGUGCAAGCGUAAAUCGGAAUCAAUGGGCGUAAAGCGCGCGUAGGCGGGCAUUUAAGUCGGACGUGAAAGCCCUCGGCUCAACCGGGGAAGUGCGUUCGAUACUGUUUGGCUUGAGUCCUGGAGAGGGUGGCGGAAUUCCGGGUGUAGGAGUGAAAUCCGUAGAUAUCCGGAGGAACACCGGUGGCGAAGGCGGCCACCUGCACAGGUACUGACGCUGAGGCGCGAAAGCGUGGGGAGCAAACAG
Molecule: ribosomal RNA, 251 nt
Filed under: uncultured prokaryote
Description: partial 16S rRNA
Rfam family: Bacterial small subunit ribosomal RNA
Source: RNAcentral